UACGGAGGGGGCUAGCGUUGUUCGGAAUUACUGGGCGUAAAGCGCACGUAGGCGGACCAGAAAGUUGGGGGUGAAAUCCCGGGGCUCAACCUCGGAACUGCCUUUAAAACUAUUGGUCUGGAGUUCGAGAGAGGUGAGUGGAAUUCCGAGUGUAGAGGUGAAAUUCGUAGAUAUUCGGAGGAACACCAGUGGCGAAGGCGGCUCUCUGGUCUGUAACUGACGCUGAGGCGCGAAAGCGUGGGGAGCGAACAGG
RNAcentral lists this ribosomal RNA (253 nucleotides) under uncultured Paracoccus sp. RNAcentral's name for it is "partial 16S ribosomal RNA". It matches the Rfam family "Bacterial small subunit ribosomal RNA", at positions 524 to 776 of the family's 1533-position model. Lineage: Bacteria; Pseudomonadati; Pseudomonadota; Alphaproteobacteria; Rhodobacterales; Paracoccaceae. The record is from RNAcentral.